AGAGUUUGAUCCUGGCUCAGAUUGAACGCUGGCGGUAUGCUUUACACAUGCAAGUCGAACGGAUUAAAGAGCUUGCUCUUUAGUUAGUGGCGAACGGGUGAGUAAUAUAUCGGAACAUAUCCGGAAGUGGGGGAUAACGUAGCGAAAGUUACGCUAAUACCGCAUAUGCCCUGAGGGGGAAAGGGGGGGAUCGCAAGACCUCUCGCUUUCGGAGUGGCCGAUAUCGGAUUAGCUAGUAGGUGAGGUAAAGGCUCACCUAGGCGACGAUCCGUAGCUGGUCUGAGAGGACGACCAGCCACACUGGAACUGAGACACGGUCCAGACUCCUACGGGAGGCAGCAGUGGGGAAUUUUGGACAAUGGGCGAAAGCCUGAUCCAGCCAUACCGCGUGAGUGAAGAAGGCCUUCGGGUUGUAAAGCUCUUUCAGCCGGAAAGAAAUCGCAUUCCUUAAUACGGGAUGUGGAUGACGGUACCGGAAGAAGAAGCACCGGCUAACUACGUGCCAGCAGCCGCGGUAAUACGUAGGGUGCGAGCGUUAUCCGGAAUUACUGGGCGUAAAGCGUGCGCAGGCGGCAUGAUAAGCCAGAUGUGAAAUCCCCGGGCUUAACCUGGGAACUGCAUUUGGAACUGUCAAGCUAGAGUGUAGCAGAGGGGGGUAGAAUUCCACGUGUAGCAGUGAAAUGCGUAGAGAUGUGGAGGAAUACCGAUGGCGAAGGCAGCCCCCUGGGCUAACACUGACGCUCAUGCACGAAAGCGUGGGGAGCAAACAGGAUUAGAUACCCUGGUAGUCCACGCCCUAAACGAUGAAUGCUAGUCGUCGGGGAGCUCGUCUCUUCGGUGAUGCACUUAACAGAUUAAGCAUUCCGCCUGGGGAGUACGUCGCAAGAUUAAAACUCAAAGGAAUAGACGGGGACCCGCACAAGUGGUGGAGCAUGUGGUUUAAUUCGAUGCAACGCGAAAAACCUUACCUACCCUUGACAUG
This 982-nucleotide ribosomal RNA is filed under the name uncultured bacterium. Its description in RNAcentral is "bacterial SSU rRNA". It matches the Rfam family "Bacterial small subunit ribosomal RNA", at positions 8 to 988 of the family's 1533-position model. The record is from RNAcentral.